GGAUUCAGUUUCGCGGCCCAAAUAAAAGCUCUCUUUUACCCGAGAACGUUUCGUGGAUUCGUGGGCCAAACCUUCUGCCUCACAAAAAAAGCAAAACGAAACAAAACUGGAAGCAGAAAAACUGAAAACCUUCAUACAAGAAAUUCGAGACGGGGACACAUUCCUCAUUCCUCGAGAACCCAAAGCACGGUCGAUCGAGCAACGCAACGUACCGAGAACCAAAACAAAAACUCCGAUCAUCUUGUUCCUUCCUACCACCCCACAACACAACCCACGCCACUCUCCUAGCUCUCCUACUCAAGCUCCCCCCAUCGACGACGACGAGACUAGGCCAUAUAUAUGUGUCGGAGAAUACAAUGCAAGCUUACAGAGUGUCUUAAUAUUACAAGAAAGAAAAUAUUACUGUGGAAUACUUUAAAAUAUAAAAUAAAUAAAAGAGGGAACCUUCUAGUGUUUAGAUAUGCAUGAAGAAUUAUGUAGAAGCUUUGGAAUACUCUAGAAUAGGAGUUUAAAAUAAAUAAAUAGAAAACCUUCUAAUACCUAGAUAUUUGUGUAGAAGUGUGUGGAAGACUUUAGAUAUUUUGUAUUAAUGGCUAAGAUCUUGACACAUGUCAAAGAUCCAAUGGUCAUGUAGUCCUAUAAAUAGAGGCACUUGCCUCACACCUUGAGUAGUAGAGAAUAAGAAAGUGAAGAAGGUGGAGAACAAGGUGUGAGCAAGUGUAAGGAUUGAUGAGGUGGGCUACAUAUGGCCUGAAUUGGCCACAAAUAAAAUCUUAGGCAUGAUAUUUUUUUAAACUUACAGAUUGAAAUGACUUGUAUUGCACAUGAAUUGAAUGUGAAACUUUGCAAAAAUAUUUUAUAAAA
Brachypodium distachyon (stiff brome) is the source of this 864-nucleotide long non-coding RNA. RefSeq lists it as uncharacterized. The record is from RefSeq and is a predicted model, not a curated record. The transcript is spliced from 2 exons. NCBI's taxonomy places the organism in Eukaryota, Viridiplantae, Streptophyta, Magnoliopsida, Poales, Poaceae.